AUUGAACGCUGGAGGCAGGCUUAACACAUGCAAGUCGAGCGGGGGAAGGUAGCUUGCUACUGGACCUAGCGGCGGACGGGUGAGUAAUGCUUAGGAAUCUGCCUAUUAGUGGGGGACAACAUCUCGAAAGGGAUGCUAAUACCGCAUACGUCCUACGGGAGAAAGCAGGGGAUCUUCGGACCUUGCGCUAAUAGAUGAGCCUAAGUCGGAUUAGCUAGUUGGUGGGGUAAAGGCCUACCAAGGCGACGAUCUGUAGCGGGUCUGAGAGGAUGAUCCGCCACACUGGGACUGAGACACGGCCCAGACUCCUACGGGAGGCAGCAGUGGGGAAUAUUGGACAAUGGGGGGAACCCUGAUUCAGCCAUGCCGCGUGUGUGAAGAAGGCCUUAUGGUUGUAAAGCACUUUAAGCGAGGAGGAGGCUACUUUAGUUAAUACCUAGAGAUAGUGGACGUUACUCGCAGAAUAAGCACCGGCUAACUCUGUGCCAGCCGCCGCAGUAA
Molecule: ribosomal RNA, 501 nt
Filed under: uncultured bacterium
Lineage: Bacteria
Description: partial 16S ribosomal RNA
Rfam family: Bacterial small subunit ribosomal RNA
Source: RNAcentral